CAGCUGCAACUCGCCUGUAUGAAGUCGGAAUUGCUAGUAAUCGCGGAUCAGCAUGCCGCGGUGAAUACGUUCCCGGGCCUUGUACACACCGCCCGUCACACCAUGAGAGUCGGUAACACCCGAAGCCUGUAGUCUAACCGUGAGGAGGACGCAGUCGAAGGUGGGAUUGAUGACUGGGGUGAAGUCGUAACAAGGUACC
This 199-nucleotide ribosomal RNA is filed under the name uncultured bacterium. Its description in RNAcentral is "partial 16S ribosomal RNA". It matches the Rfam family "Bacterial small subunit ribosomal RNA", at positions 1301 to 1500 of the family's 1533-position model. The record is from RNAcentral.